CUUGAACUUGUGAUCCUCCAGUCUCAGCCUCCUGAGUCACUAGGAUUAUAGGCAUGUGCCACCAUGCCUAGCUUGAACAUUUUUUUUUUGCAUCUUAUUGGUCCCUUCAUUAAUUAAUGAGUUAAAUCUUUGGCUGUGUUCAUUUUAUUUUUAUAUGAGAGUCAUGGUUUUACUUUUUUGAAAAUUAUUUUUUAAUAUUAAUACCAGACUAAAUGACUUAGAAAAAUACUUUUUUUUUUGGUACUGGAGAUUGAUCCCAGGAGCACUAUACUACUGAGCUACAUCCCUAGUCCCUUUUGCCAGGACUGGUUUCAAGCUGGCAAUCUUCCUGCCUGAGUCUCUGAAGUAGCUGGGAUUACAGGUGUGCGCCAUUGCUUCCGACUUACCAUGUGGUUUGAAACCCUAAAAUGAAUACCUUUCUUUGAAAUCACUCCAAAAGAACCAUUUUGAGUAGCAAGGGUGGAAUUUGUUUUUCUUUUCUUUUUGUGGUAGUACAGAAUGAACCCAAGAGCAUUUUAUCCCUGAGCUACAUCCCCAUCCCUUUUUAUUUUUAACUUUGCUAAAUUGCCCGGGCUGAUCUCAAAUUUGUGAUUCUUUUCCUUCUACCUCCCAAGAAGCUGGGAGGAACAUUAUUUUUAGUGUACAUAUGGGAAGUGUAUACAAUGAUCCAUCUGUAUAGGAAGAUUUUGGUUUUAUAGUGUUAGCAAUGUGAAGUUCUUAUUUUUUAAGCUGCUGUUCUGUUCUAAUUAUAGCAGUUGAAACUGUGUUUGAUUCUCAUGAUCUUUAUCACAUUGUGUGAUAUAGUAGGAUCAUGCUAUACCUCCUCAAAAUCUCUGUUAAAUCCAACUUAAAUACCUCUUAGAGGCUGGGAAUGAACUCACUGGUAUAGCACUUGGCUAGCAUGCAGAAGGCCUGGGGUUCAAAGCCCAGUAUUUUAAACAUACUCUUUGGAAUACAAUAUCCCUUUGCUUGAGGGCAAUUUGUUAUUAUAGUUGAGCCCAGUUUGGGAAACUGUGAGAAAGUUUCCAUGAAUUUAAAGUGAUCAAACUCCUAAGCAAGGACUUGAGGGUAUCCAGAUAGGGAACAGUCAGUACUCCCUGGGCCCCUGAGAGUCUGAGGAGAUGCAGUACAUGGCUGCUAGUCCUCCUCACCUGGCCUGGGAACAAAAAGCUGCAAAACCAGGCCCUAUAAACACUGGCAUGACCACUGGCUACUGCACAUCUGCAUUUCAGAGAUGCUUGAGGCCACAAGGAAAGGAAGCCUGCCUAGGGAUGGUCACGCCUGUGUGAGAGGCGAGGUGGAAAAGCAGAAACAGUUUCAGCCUCUGUGGGGCAGCACCACCUUCACAGCAGCACAGUGCUUACCCUGUUGCUCCCACCCUCUCCUCAGAACACACCAUGAGGUUCUGGAGGGAGUCACUCCUCUGAGGUCAAAUGAUAUGUGUGCUCAUGAAUGUGCUUUCAGUAUUAAAUCCCAGUACAGUAACUGUCAGUACAUAAAACUCACAUCGACCAGAGCACCACAGCCUUAGGUGUGACUGUGGAGAACAACGUGUGGGCUGAGUCCCUUCCCUGUGACCCGGGCACAUGGCAACAUUUGUUGUCCUCACUGGGGUCAGGGGUGUUUGUCUCGUUGCCUCUCCCCUUUCCACACCUGUGCAUUAAGGUUCCACACUGAAGCGUUGCUCCUGCUUCAGGGGCCAGCUCUGCCUGUGCAGCACUACAGGGCCAUGAGCUUCACCAGCUUGGAGAAGGCUACUCAUCUCCCAGCGGCAGCACAGGAGUGAUGGAAUUGGGAUUCAGACCAAUCGCUCUCAUGUCAGAAACUAAGCCCCCAACUGUGCCAUUGUGCCAAUCUCUCUCAUGCCAUUGCCCUCGCUCAGUGAAGGACAGUGCCACACGGUGG
Molecule: long non-coding RNA, 1905 nt
Filed under: Marmota monax (woodchuck)
Lineage: Eukaryota; Metazoa; Chordata; Mammalia; Rodentia; Sciuridae
Source: RNAcentral